AGAAUCAACGCUGGCGGCGUGCCUAACACAUGCAAGUCGAACGCGACUAUCCCGCAAGGGAUAGCUGAGUGGCGAACGGGUGAGUAACACGUGGGUGACCUACCUUCGAGUGGGGGAUAACGUCCCGAAAGGGACGCUAAUACCGCAUAACAUCCCGCCUUUGAACAGGUGGAGAUCAAAGCCGGGGAUCGCAAGACCUGGCGCUUGAUGAGGGGCCCGCGUCCGAUUAGCUAGUUGGUGAGGUAAUGGCUCACCAAGGCGACGAUC
This 267-nucleotide ribosomal RNA is filed under the name uncultured soil bacterium. Its description in RNAcentral is "partial 16S ribosomal RNA". It matches the Rfam family "Bacterial small subunit ribosomal RNA", at positions 26 to 281 of the family's 1533-position model. The record is from RNAcentral.